UACGUAGGGGGCAAGCGUUGUCCGGAAUCAUUGGGCGUAAAGCGCGUGUAGGCGGCUCGAUAAGUCUGCUGUGAAAGUUCAGGGCUCAACCCUGAAAUGCCGGUGGAAACUGUCGAGCUAGAGUCCGGAAGAGGCGAGUGGAAUUCCUGGUGUAGCGGUGAAAUGCGCAGAUAUCAGGAGGAACACCAAUGGCGAAGGCAGCUCGCUGGGACGGUACUGACGCUGAGACGCGAAAGCGUGGGUAGCAAACAGG
This 253-nucleotide ribosomal RNA is filed under the name uncultured bacterium. Its description in RNAcentral is "partial 16S ribosomal RNA". It matches the Rfam family "Bacterial small subunit ribosomal RNA", at positions 524 to 776 of the family's 1533-position model. The record is from RNAcentral.